Trachemys scripta elegans is the source of this 741-nucleotide long non-coding RNA. RefSeq lists it as uncharacterized. The record is from RefSeq and is a predicted model, not a curated record. The transcript is spliced from 3 exons. NCBI's taxonomy places the organism in Eukaryota, Metazoa, Chordata, Testudines, Emydidae.
CGUUAGCAGGGAGCUGCCGACAAGCCGUGUUCAGACCUGGAUAGAGAAGAGUAAACAAGGGAGAGAUUAUAUAUAAUUAUAGACAAUCAUGUUGCUGGGCAUAAACAGGAAUCAAAAGCACAGAGGCACUGAAGUUUGGCACAUCCCCAAGCCCAGAACAGAAGCCAGCCAGCAAGAGGCAGCGCGACUGGAAAGCUCUUCCCUUUGGGCCUGCUUUCAGUUAGCUCAGGGGCUGUUUUUUCGUCUUUUUUUGGCUUGAGGCAUUCCCCCAUAAAGAAAGAGUCUGUCUGAGGGAACAUGGGAGCCAAACUGAAGUCAGCAGAAUCCUUGUCUGUGACAUUAAUGGAUCGCUCUGUGAGAAAUGUCAGAAGCAUUUGGAAAAGUUACAGCGUGCUUAGACCCCGGAAAAGGAGAAAAAUACACCCAGGAAGAACACAGACACCUGAGCUCCCACUUCAAAGGUCUGGUCCUUCAAGGAGUUCUCCAGCCAAACCAGGGGAGGCCAAGCUCUCUAUUCCUGAUAAUUCAAAGAUCAUGAAAAAAACAAGCCAACAGAAUUUGAGAAUUUGGAUGCACACACAACAGAAGAAAAGCAAAAAGAGAAGGGAGCAAGAUCACUUAACCAUCCGAUUCCUGUGAGAAGAGUCAAAAUGUGCCCCUGGCUCAAGCUACCACUGUUGGUGUCAGUAAAGCGCUAAUCAAUAGAUGCUGAUGAUGGCACAGUGCGGAAUGCAGCGCUGU